GGCCAAUAAGGUAUUGGCAUGCAUGAAAAAGGGCAUUCAUUCCCAGGACAAGAAUAUCAUUUUGCCUCUUUAUAAAUCACUGGUAAGACCACCUAUUCUAAAGAAGGAUAUUAUGGCACUAGAAAAAGUGCAGAGGCGGGCUAUAAAAUUAUUAAAAGGAAUGGAACAUAUCAGCUAUGAAGAAAGGUAAACAAAUUUAAACCUAUUUAGUUU
Molecule: non-coding RNA, 213 nt
Organism: Pelobates cultripes (western spadefoot toad)
Lineage: Eukaryota; Metazoa; Chordata; Amphibia; Anura; Pelobatidae
Source: the annotation of a GenBank genome assembly